CAGCAUUAAAGAUGGCUACCGUUAAAGCGAGACUGGCGGUGGUUUUAAUAAACACAUAUUAGUAUCUAAUAAAAUUUUAUUAAAUACUAAUAAAAUUUUAUUCACUGCAAAACAAAUGAUAUUUAUAUGUAAUUAAUAUUUAUUGACAAGUAGUACUAACAUAAAGAAAUUCCAAAUACGUGUUUUUAUUCGCUGUGAAUAAAAUUGUCUCUCAGUGUAUGCACUUAGAUAAUAUGUUUCGUUUUAUUAUGUCAAUAGUUUAAGGUCAUGCUCAGCGAGUCGUCUUUCAUUUUUUAAAUAAUAAAUUACACUGGUCAUUUGUUGAUAAUGGUUUUUCCUAUCUGACGUCCAAAGUUGUGCAAUAUUAUGCUGAUCAAGCGAUAUUUCAUCUAUUUGUUGAUUUCAAUUAAUCUGAUUACAACGAAUUCAAAGGCCUAAAACACUAAAGGCCCAGAAUGCCAUUAGUUUUAAAGCUACUGAUAAGUGAUAAUAUUUGUUCGACUAAUCCACCAAUAAAGAAAUUAAGCUCCUCAAACAGCACUAGUCAAAAGAAGAAAGUAAAUGAACGAAGUUAUGGAAGUAUUGUAAUGCUGACAUUUACAAAAGACGGUGAAGAUAUCCAGGAAUAUUUGUCAAAUAUUCCGGGAACAAAAUCCUAAAAUCGGUGUUUUGAUUUUACAAGAGCAAGCAAAGUUUGUUUACUCACUCGUAGAAAAAUUCAUCGACGAUUGCUUCAAGCAAGUUAAUUAUAUUAUUCCAAUUUUAACCACUGGUUACAUUAAUCAUAUCAACAAUUUGACCAAUAAUGAUGAAGAAAGUUUGCUCAUUAAUUUGGACCAUAAAUAUGCCAAAUAUUUAUACUCGUUGAUGUGUUUUGAGUAUUGUAAAAAUAAUUGUCAUAACAAUCGCAUCAGUGGUAUGACUGGUUGGAAA
Long non-coding RNA from Cotesia glomerata, 933 nucleotides. RefSeq lists it as uncharacterized. NCBI's taxonomy places the organism in Eukaryota, Metazoa, Arthropoda, Insecta, Hymenoptera, Braconidae. The transcript has 3 exons. The record is from RefSeq and is a predicted model, not a curated record.